UUGAUAAACAUUUGAGUGAGUGGCGGACGGGUGAGUAACACGUGGGUAACCUGCCUAAGUGGGGAUAACAUUUGGAAACAGAUGCUAAUACCGCAUAAAACCUAACACCGCAUGGUGUAGGGUUGAAAGAUGGUUUCGGCUAUCACUUUAGGAUGGACCCGCGGUGCAUUAGUUAGUUGGUGAGGUAAAGGCUCACCAAGACCGUGAUGCAUAGCCGACCUGAGAGGUAAUCGGCCACACUGGGACUGAGACACGGCCCAGACUCCUACGGGAGGCAGCAGUAGGGAAUCUUCCACAAUGGACGAAAGUCUGAUGGAGCAACGCCGCGUGAGUGAAGAAGGUUUUCGGAUCGUAAAACUCUGUUGUUGGAGAAGAAUGUAUCUGAUAGUAACUGAUCAGGUAGUGACGGUAUCCAACCAGAAAGCCACGGCUAACUACGUG
Molecule: ribosomal RNA, 441 nt
Filed under: uncultured bacterium
Lineage: Bacteria
Description: bacterial SSU rRNA
Rfam family: Bacterial small subunit ribosomal RNA
Source: RNAcentral